UCAGAUUGCAGGCUGCAACCCGCCUGCAUGAAGUCGGAAUUGCUAGUAAUCGCGGAUCAGCAUGCCGCGGUGAAUACGUUCCCGGGCCUUGUACACACCGCCCGUCACACCAUGGGAGCCGGUAGUACCCGAAGUCAGUAGUCCAACCUCGUGAGGACGCUGCCGAAGGUAGGAUUGGCGACUGGGGUGAAGUCGUAACAAGGUAGC
Molecule: ribosomal RNA, 207 nt
Filed under: uncultured bacterium
Lineage: Bacteria
Description: partial 16S ribosomal RNA
Rfam family: Bacterial small subunit ribosomal RNA
Source: RNAcentral